Syngnathus typhle (broad-nosed pipefish) is the source of this 309-nucleotide long non-coding RNA. RefSeq lists it as uncharacterized. The transcript has 3 exons. Lineage: Eukaryota; Metazoa; Chordata; Actinopteri; Syngnathiformes; Syngnathidae. The record is from RefSeq and is a predicted model, not a curated record.
AGAAAUAACUACGCUACCAGAAGGACAAGCUGCAAGUGUAGGAGUUUCCUCCCACUGCUGCCUCUGCAUGGAGCUGACGCAGGGAAGAGGCAGUCUGGGAAAAGUUUGGGAAAAGUGAGGCCGGCAUACUUGGGCCGGUUCUCCACAUAGUUCCUCACGGUGGGCUGCAGCUUCUUCAUAAACUCCGGCGACGGUGUACCGAGCUGCUCGAUCACUUUGUUCCAUUGGUCGAUGUCUGGUGCGAGAUUAAGCCUUUGGCCAUCUUGAGGACGCAAUUAAAGCUUCCCCACAGGAGAGGCAUCAGUCCAG